Molecule: ribosomal RNA, 1311 nt
Filed under: uncultured prokaryote
Description: partial 16S ribosomal RNA
Rfam family: Bacterial small subunit ribosomal RNA
Source: RNAcentral
GGAUUAACGCUGGCAGUGUGUAUAAUACAUGCAAGUCGACUGCAUUUAGGUGCAGGGCAGACGGGUGAGUAACACGUUGGUUAUCUGCCCCGAACUCAGGGAUAACAUCGAGAAAUCGGUGAUAAUACCGGAUGGUCCCGCAAGGGUAAAGAUUUAUCGGUUCGGGAGGAGCCUGCGCAGUAUCAGCUUGUUGGUGAGGUAAUGGCUCACCAAGGCUAUGACGCUUAGCUGGUCUGAGAGGAUGAUCAGUCACAAUGGAACUGAGACACGGUCCAUACUCCUACGGGAGGCAGCAGUAAAGAAUCUUCCGCAAUGGACGAAAGUCUGACGGAGCAACACUGCGUGGUGGAUGACGGCCCUCGGGUUGUAAACACCUUUUCUGGGGGAAGAAGUUCUGACGGUACCCCAGGAAUAAGCGACGGCUAAUUACGUGCCAGCAGCCGCGGUAAUACGUAAGUCGCAAGCGUUAUCCGGAAUUAUUGGGCGUAAAGCGUCCGUAGGCGGUUUUUCAAGUCUGUGGUUAAAUCCCAGGGCUCAACCCUGGAAUCGUCAUGGAAACUGUGAAACUUGAGGUAUGCAGGGGUAGAUGGAAUUCCAGAAGUAGGGGUAAAAUCCGUAGAUCUCUGGAGGGACACCAAACGCGAAGGCAUUCUACUGGGCAUUACCUGACGCUGAGGGACGAAAGUGUGGGGAGCAAACGGGAUUAGAUACCCCGGUAGUCCACACCGUAAACGAUGGAUACUCGGUAUUGGAGGCUUCGACCCCUUCGGUGCCUAAGCUAACGCAUUAAGUAUCCCGCCUGGGUAGUACGGUCGCAAGAUUAAAACUCAAAGGAAUAGACGGGGACCUACACAAGCGGUGGAGCAUGUGGUUUAAUUCGAUAAUAAGCGGGAAACCUUACCAGGGCUUGACAUCUUGAGAAUUCUCUAGAAACAGAGAAGUGCCUUCUGGAACUCAAUGACAGGUGUUGCAUGGUUGUCGUCAGCUCGUGCCUUGAGGUGUACUGUUAAGUCAGGAAACGAGCGCAACCCUCAUUGUAUGUUGUAUUUUUCAUGCAAGACUGCCGACUCCAAGUCGGAGGAAGGUGAGGAUAACGUCAAAUCAGCAUGGCCCUUAUGCCCUGGGCUACACACGUGCUACAAUGGUCGGUACAAUGGGUCGCCAAAUCGUAAGAUGGAGCCAAUCCUAUCAAAGCCGGCCUCAGUUCGGAUUGAGGGCUGCAACUCGCCCUCAUGAAGUUGGAAUCGCUAGUAAUCGUGAAUCAGAAUGUCACGGUGAAUAUGUUCCUAGGUCUUGUACUCACCGCCCGUC